Molecule: ribosomal RNA, 769 nt
Filed under: uncultured Pseudoalteromonadaceae bacterium
Lineage: Bacteria; Pseudomonadati; Pseudomonadota; Gammaproteobacteria; Alteromonadales; Pseudoalteromonadaceae
Description: bacterial SSU rRNA
Rfam family: Bacterial small subunit ribosomal RNA
Source: RNAcentral
AUUGAACGCUGGCGGCAGGCCUAACACAUGCAAGUCGAGCGGAAACGAGUUAUCUAAACCUUCGGGGAACAAUAACGGCGUCGAGCGGCGGACGGGUGAGUAAUGCCUAGGAAAUUGCCCUGAUGUGGGGGAUAACCAUUGGAAACGAUGGCUAAUACCGCAUGAUGCCUACGGGCCAAAGAGGGGGACCUUCGGGCCUCUCGCGUCAGGAUAUGCCUAGGUGGGAUUAGCUAGUUGGUGAGGUAAGGGCUCACCAAGGCAACGAUCCCUAGCUGGUCUGAGAGGAUGAUCAGCCACACUGGAACUGAGACACGGUCCAGACUCCUACGGGAGGCAGCAGUGGGGAAUAUUGCACAAUGGGCGCAAGCCUGAUGCAGCCAUGCCGCGUGUGUGAAGAAGGCCUUCGGGUUGUAAAGCACUUUCAGUCGUGAGGAAGGUAGUGUGUUUAAUAGAUGCAUUAUUUGACGUUAGCGACAGAAGAAGCACCGGCUAACUCCGUGCCAGCAGCCGCGGUAAUACGGAGGGUGCGAGCGUUAAUCGGAAUUACUGGGCGUAAAGCGCAUGCAGGUGGUUUGUUAAGUCAGAUGUGAAAGCCCGGGGCUCAACCUCGGAAUAGCAUUUGAAACUGGCAGACUAGAGUACUGUAGAGGGGGGUAGAAUUUCAGGUGUAGCGGUGAAAUGCGUAGAGAUCUGAAGGAAUACCGGUGGCGAAGGCGGCCCCCUGGACAGAUACUGACACUCAGAUGCGAAAGCGUGGGGAGCAAACAGG